CAUUAGGUGCCUGAAAGCAAGUAAUGGUCUCUUAAACCAGCAAAUGAUAGCCUAGCAAAUAUCCCUAAUGA
Molecule: transfer RNA, 71 nt
Filed under: Glossotermes oculatus
Lineage: Eukaryota; Metazoa; Arthropoda; Insecta; Blattodea; Rhinotermitidae
Description: tRNA-Lys
Source: RNAcentral